Molecule: long non-coding RNA, 264 nt
Filed under: Olea europaea subsp. europaea
Lineage: Eukaryota; Viridiplantae; Streptophyta; Magnoliopsida; Lamiales; Oleaceae
Source: RNAcentral
GGACAAGUAGUACACAUCUCGUUCAAUUUUUGGGUUAUCGUUUUAUCAUCAGAGAUAAUGUCGUAGAUAGAAUCAUCUAGUCGACAUUAAAUUUAUUGAGAAUAAAGUUUUAUUUGCUAUAGAAUAUGAAUGUUUAGGACUUUUCGGCCUUUCAUGCAAAUUAGAACUGCACUAAGUAUGGGUGCUGACAAGAAACAUACUGGAUUAAGGAAUCUCAACUUCCUAGGUUUUGAUUAUAAAUAUCGGUUCCAUCACAUCUAAAGU